CUUGUGAACACCAAGACACUGAAUCCUUCAGGCAGCUCAUUGGGUGUUACUCUUGUUCCACACAUGAGGAACUUGUCAGAGAACUUUACUUACCACAAUGAUACAGAUAACGGUUAUGGAGUGUUAGCUCCUGUUCUAGGAAUAGAGAAUCUGUCGGUAAACAGCAGAAGGCAAUUAUUCAAAGGAUCACGCGGACUGGAUCGUAGGAGGAGCUCUAAGGGUAACUGACCUUGGGUUCUCUCCAGCACGCAGCAUCACAGGAGACACCUGCAGGGAAUAAGGAAGCCUCAGCCCCAGCUCACUGACUCCGUGUGCUCCACGGCAGCAGCGAUGCUUCUCAAACGUCUGUGGGCAUCAGGAGAAAGGCAGAUCAGGGUUGUGACACAGCCCACAGUCGCCUCCUCACCACGGUGGAAGGAUGCCUGCGUUUGUGAUUGCACGCUUGAUCAACACGGUUCUCCAGAAAGAGGCUGAGGAUUGGAAAAUAUUUUUUUAAGUGACAGUUACUUGAGCUGGUUGAGAUGCGCACUGUUGGCACCAACAUGGACAGACGACCGUUUGACAGUAUCCGUGAAAGUAAAAAGGCAUGUUUGUAACUGGACAAAAAAUGCUCUAUUUUAGAAAUCUCUUCCUCAGAACCUGCUCUUACUGGACAAAUCUGUACAUUUAUGACUCUUCACCUUAUUAUUUAUCUUUUAAAAGUUUUGGCUCAGCCAUAUAUACACAAGCUUAAAACGAAAAACAAUGUAUAAUGUGCGCAGAAGAGACAGUUGCUUCGUUACCCCUAUAAUGGCUCAUCUCUGCCAAGACCAAGAUAACUCCUUUAUUAGUUUUUGCAGAGUUUUUACACAACUACAGCAAAUGAAAAUAUAUAGUUAAAGGGUGGUUUAGAAAUUGCAGACCGAUGCUUCUGUAAAAAAACAAACCUGUGAAGUAAAGCACAGCAUUCAUUUGCAGUCCUCUAAGUGAAGCCUGAUGGUCAAAUGCCCCAUCCUGAAGGUAUUUGGUUAAUCUCCCCGCAGGCCGCCCGCCCCAGUCCCAAAGGAUGGUCGUCAUUCAUUCUAAAUACAG
This 1071-nucleotide long non-coding RNA is filed under the name Homo sapiens (human). RNAcentral's name for it is "HSALNT0025781". The record is from RNAcentral. Lineage: Eukaryota; Metazoa; Chordata; Mammalia; Primates; Hominidae.